GCAUCGGUCGUUCAGUGGUACGAUGCUCGCUUGCCACGCCGGCGGCCUGGGAUCGAUUCCCGGCCGACGCA
Molecule: transfer RNA, 71 nt
Organism: Toxocara canis (dog roundworm)
Lineage: Eukaryota; Metazoa; Nematoda; Chromadorea; Rhabditida; Toxocaridae
Rfam family: tRNA
About the family: Transfer RNA (tRNA) molecules are approximately 80 nucleotides in length. Their secondary structure includes four short double-helical elements and three loops (D, anti-codon, and T loops).
Source: Rfam